UGAACAUCAAAUAUGAUGGAUAUUCUAAGCAACUGAUUUCAUAAAUUACAAGUUCAAAAGACGAUAUCAAAAUGCAUUCAAGAUGCGUACAAUUAGGCCUGAGAGAACACUUCUAAACUAGAAGCAAUAUUCAUCUAUCUUUACUGUUAGAGAUAUAAACUAUUCUUAUCACUUUGGUCUUAGAUUUGUCAAGUCUCUAUCACUUGUGUGGUCUUAAUCUUAUCUUUCUCAUUUAUACGUUAUGACCAUACACGCACAGAUUUUUAAAUGCAAAAAUUUUUGUUUCACUUAAUUAUUCCCUGUGCAUGAGAAAGAAGUACAAGCACUAAUGCAUUCAAUUAUUAUUGCACAAUUACUUUGAACUAACAUCCAUGAUAUUGUGUGUCCAGGUGACUGCAAUAUCCCUGCCA
Molecule: unclassified non-coding RNA, 410 nt
Filed under: Hevea brasiliensis (rubber tree)
Lineage: Eukaryota; Viridiplantae; Streptophyta; Magnoliopsida; Malpighiales; Euphorbiaceae
Source: RNAcentral